Erinaceus europaeus (western European hedgehog) is the source of this 302-nucleotide non-coding RNA. The record is from Rfam. Lineage: Eukaryota; Metazoa; Chordata; Mammalia; Eulipotyphla; Erinaceidae.
GAAUGUGAGGGCGAUCUGUCUGCAACUUCUGUCACCCCAUUGAUUGCAGGGUUGAUUGGCUGGCUAGGUGGGUGUCCCCUUCCUCCCUCAUCAUUCCAUGUGCGUCCCUCCCGAAGUUGUGCGCUUGGUCAAAGAGGACGGCUUCCCCCGAAUAGAGACUGACUGUUCUUCGGUCAAGGGUAUACGAGUAGCUGUACUCCCCUGCUAGAACCUCCAAACAAGCUCUCAAGAACUUAGCUAGUUCACAUAUCUCGGAAUGAUUACCACCAAUUUUUCAAAGGUCUGAAUCAGAAUACAUUGGG